Molecule: unclassified non-coding RNA, 226 nt
Filed under: uncultured Ascomycota
Lineage: Eukaryota; Fungi; Ascomycota
Description: sequence contains 5.8S rRNA gene, ITS2, 28S rRNA gene
Source: RNAcentral
AACGCAUAUUGCGCCUCUUGGUAUUCCUUGAGGCAUGCCUGUUCGAGCGCCGUUUGACUCUUGGAGUUUUACUCUGUGUUGGGCUUGUUCUUCGCAAGGAACUUCCCCCAAAUAAAUUUGCCCGAGUUUUUCUGGAAGCAACAGUGAAAGUGUUUCUCCCCCAAAAACAAGGGCAGAUCUCCGAACACAUGGCCUCGGAUCAGGUAGGGCUACCCGCUGAACUUAA